Non-coding RNA from Gossypium arboreum, 144 nucleotides. Lineage: Eukaryota; Viridiplantae; Streptophyta; Magnoliopsida; Malvales; Malvaceae. The record is from Rfam.
UGUUAAAAAUUUCAUCAAUUUUACUGUUGAAAAAUAGCGUGACUGAUAAAAUAACUAGACAGUUACACGUAGCAUGCUACGUAUAUCUAAUUCUAACGUACAAGGACCAAUUUUUAACAAUAGAAAUGAAUGAAAAUUUGAGCA